RNAcentral lists this ribosomal RNA (477 nucleotides) under uncultured bacterium. RNAcentral describes it as "bacterial SSU rRNA". It matches the Rfam family "Bacterial small subunit ribosomal RNA", at positions 28 to 509 of the family's 1533-position model. The record is from RNAcentral.
GAUGAACGCUAGCGGGAGGCUUAACACAUGCAAGUCGAGCGGGAUUCACCUUCGGGUGAUGAGAGCGGCGGACGGGUGCGUAACGCGUAUGCAACCUACCUUAUACAAAGGGAUAGCCCAUGGAAACGUGGAUUAAUAUCUUAUGGGACUAAUUAAUCGCAUGGUUGAUUAGUUAAAAUUUCGGUGGUAUAAGAUGGGCAUGCGUCUGAUUAGCUAGUUGGUGAGGUAACGGCUCACCAAGGCAACGAUCAGUAGGGGUUCUGAGAGGAUUACCCCCCCANACUGGUACUGAGACACGGACCAGACUCCUACGGGAGCAGCAGUGAGGAAUAUUGGUCAAUGGACAAAGUCUGAACCAGCCAUCCCGCGUGCAGGAUGACGGCCCUAUGGGUUNUAAACUGCUUUUCUACGCAAGAAACCUGAUUACGUGUAAUCAGCUGACGUAGCGUAGGAAUAAGCACCGGCUAACUCCGUGCC